This 75-nucleotide transfer RNA is filed under the name Alphaproteobacteria bacterium. RNAcentral describes it as "tRNA-Trp". It matches the Rfam family "tRNA". From Rfam's summary of the family: Transfer RNA (tRNA) molecules are approximately 80 nucleotides in length. Their secondary structure includes four short double-helical elements and three loops (D, anti-codon, and T loops). The record is from RNAcentral. Lineage: Bacteria; Pseudomonadati; Pseudomonadota; Alphaproteobacteria.
AGGGGAGUGGCUCAAUGGUAGAGUAGUGGUCUCCAAAACCAUUGGUUGCAGGUUCAAGUCCUGUCUCCCCUGCCA